UCGAGCGGUAGAGAGAAGCUUGCUUCUCUUGAGAGCGGCGGACGGGUGAGUAAUACCUAGGAAUCUGCCUGAUAGUGGGGGAUAACGUUCGGAAACGGACGCUAAUACCGCAUACGUCCUACGGGAGAAAGCAGGGGACCUUCGGGCCUUGCGCUAUCAGAUGAGCCUAGGUCGGAUUAGCUAGUUGGUGAGGUAAUGGCUCACCAAGGCUACGAUCCGUAACUGGUCUGAGAGGAUGAUCAGUCACACUGGAACUGAGACACGGUCCAGACUCCUACGGGAGGCAGCAGUGGGGAAUAUUGGACAAUGGGCGAAAGCCUGAUCCAGCCAUGCCGCGUGUGUGAAGAAGGUCUUCGGAUUGUAAAGCACUUUAAGUUGGGAGGAAGGGCAUUAACCUAAUACGUUAGUGUCUUGACGUUACCGACAGAAUAAGCACCGGCUAACUCUGUGCCAGCAGCCGCGGUAAUACAGAGGGUGCAAGCGUUAAUCGGAAUUACUGGGCGUAAAGCGCGCGUAGGUGGUUUGUUAAGUUGAAUGUGAAAUCCCCGGGCUCAACCUGGGAACUGCAUCCAAAACUGGCAAGCUAGAGUAUGGUAGAGGGUAGUGGAAUUUCCUGUGUAGCGGUGAAAUGCGUAGAUAUAGGAAGGAACACCAGUGGCGAAGGCGACUACCUGGACUGAUACUGACACUGA
RNAcentral lists this ribosomal RNA (692 nucleotides) under Pseudomonas sp. SN_46. Its description in RNAcentral is "bacterial SSU rRNA". It matches the Rfam family "Bacterial small subunit ribosomal RNA", at positions 62 to 749 of the family's 1533-position model. The record is from RNAcentral. Lineage: Bacteria; Pseudomonadati; Pseudomonadota; Gammaproteobacteria; Pseudomonadales; Pseudomonadaceae.